Molecule: long non-coding RNA, 1052 nt
Organism: Monopterus albus (swamp eel)
Lineage: Eukaryota; Metazoa; Chordata; Actinopteri; Synbranchiformes; Synbranchidae
Exons: 3
Source: RefSeq, a predicted model, not a curated record
ACAGGUAGAGGUACCUAUGGAGCCAGAAUGAGCCUUCUGUAUUGAAACACACUCCACCCAGUGAACAGGUGCAGGGCACCAACCUGCCCAUUACACUCACACCUGCUACAGGCUCGACUCGACUCCAGUCAAGUCAGAAGGAGUCAGAGCCGUAAGCCCCGAGGCUAAAAGAAAAUGGAAAGUUGAAACCUGCUAAAUAAUUUCUUGGCCAACUAGGGCCCAAAAUCCAACAGUGUGACCAACUGGUUUUUUAUUUCAGCGAGACAUAAAAUCACAAAACGAUGACUGUUGUGGUAGUGGGAACGGGGCAGGACCCAGUAAAGAUGUCUGGAGACCGGAGAGUAGCUUCAAAGAAUUCUUUAUUUCAUGCAUGGAGAGAAGUCGUACACAGCUUUGCAGUUGCACAGAGUUCUCCGAUGAACUGAUAAAGGGGCAGUCCCUUUAUACCAAAGUGAUACAAUACACAUCUAUGAAACUCGUACCAUUAUCUCACAUCUAUGAAACUCGUACCAUUAUCUCACAUCUAACAACUCGCAUCCCUUCUCCAGCUGCCUUUGCAACAUCAUAAGUACAACGAGGCCUUGAAACUUGGUGUGCUGUUACUGUGGUUACCUGACCUCCAUGUAGAGGAAGCAGCUGGAGGGAGAUGACGGCGCUGUCCUCAUUUCAGUCAGAAGGCAGGUGACAGGUGAAAGGACGACCCAACACAGAGUCCCAGUGAGGUGCUGGGCUGCCACGGGCCACCAGAACAGCUCCACCUUGGCACUGACUCUCCAAGUCUCUGAACUCACAGCAUCUGGUUCAUAUCAUGGUCAUCCUGCUCAGACCAGUCAGUGGCCCCUGGUGUCCUGUGGAUGUGGGACACUGUUGUCCUGGAGGAGACCACUCCCACACUGUAGAAUUGUUUGUAUCUUGUUUGAAUCUUGUUGGACCACACAGCAGUACAGUGGUUAGUGCUGUUGACUUGUAGAAAGAAGCCUCCAGGUUCAAGCCCUGGCCUUUCUGUGUGGAGUCUGCAUGUUCUCCCUGUGCCCAUGUGGGUUCUCUCCAGG